CAGCAGCCGCGGUAAUACGGAGGGAGCUAGCGUUAUUCGGAAUUACCGGGCGUAAAGCGCACGUAGGCGGCUUUGUAAGUUAGAGGUGAAAGCCUGGAGCUCAACUCCAGAAUUGCCUUUAAGACUGCAUCGCUUGAAUCCAGGAGAGGUGAGUGGAAUUCCGAGUGUAGAGGUGAAAUUCGUAGAUAUUCGGAAGAACACCAGUGGCGAAGGCGGUUCACUGGACUGGUAUUGACGCUGAGGUGCGAAGGCGUGGGGAGCAAACAGGAUUAGAUACCCCUGUAGUCCCUGUCUCUUAUAA
RNAcentral lists this ribosomal RNA (301 nucleotides) under uncultured bacterium. Its description in RNAcentral is "partial 16S ribosomal RNA". It matches the Rfam family "Bacterial small subunit ribosomal RNA", at positions 509 to 809 of the family's 1533-position model. The record is from RNAcentral.